CAGGAUGAACGCUGGCGGCGUGCUUAACACAUGCAAGUCGAACGAUGAACCCCGCUUGCGGGGGGAUUAGUGGCGAACGGGUGAGUAACACGUGAGUAACCUGCCCUUAACUCUGGGAUAAGCCUUGGAAACGGGGUCUAAUACUGGAUAUUGACUUUUCCUCGCAUGGGGAUUGGUUGAAAGAUUUAUUGGUUUUGGAUGGACUCGCGGCCUAUCAGCUUGUUGGUGAGGUAAUGGCUCACCAAGGCGACGACGGGUAGCCGGCCUGAGAGGGUGACCGGCCACACUGGGACUGAGACACGGCCCAGACUCCUACGGGAGGCAGCAGUGGGGAAUAUUGCACAAUGGGCGAAAGCCUGAUGCAGCGACGCCGCGUGAGGGAUGACGGCCUUCGGGUUGUAAACCUCUUUCAGUAGGGAACAAGGCCAGUGUUUAGCUGGUUGAGGGUACUUGCAGAAGAAGCGCCGGCUAACUACGUGCCAGCAGCCGCGGUAAU
RNAcentral lists this ribosomal RNA (496 nucleotides) under uncultured bacterium. RNAcentral describes it as "bacterial SSU rRNA". It matches the Rfam family "Bacterial small subunit ribosomal RNA", at positions 25 to 524 of the family's 1533-position model. The record is from RNAcentral.